Non-coding RNA from Haemonchus contortus (barber pole worm), 75 nucleotides. NCBI's taxonomy places the organism in Eukaryota, Metazoa, Nematoda, Chromadorea, Rhabditida, Trichostrongylidae. The record is from Rfam.
GGCGCAAACUUGAAGUAGAGUAGAUUAGUAUGGUCAGCUGAUUCUUCCAAUCUGCUCAACUUCAAAUUUGGGCCC